GUGGGCUAUGGCGAUGUGACACCGCAAUCUCCGCUUGGAAAAUUUAUCGGAUGUAUAUGUUCUAUUUGCGGUGUGCUCGUCAUUGCCUUGCCUAUCCCUAUCAUUGUGAAUAAC
This is a regulatory RNA element of Clonorchis sinensis, 114 nucleotides long. It matches the Rfam family "Potassium channel RNA editing signal". Rfam says of the family: This family represents a group of sequences related to the human potassium channel Kv1.1 hairpin element which directs the efficient modification of an adenosine to inosine by an adenosine deaminase acting on RNA (ADAR). The ADAR modification causes an isoleucine/valine recoding event which lies in the ion-conducting pore of the potassium channel. It is thought that this editing event targets the process of fast inactivation and allows a more rapid recovery from inactivation at negative potentials. The record is from Rfam. Lineage: Eukaryota; Metazoa; Platyhelminthes; Trematoda; Opisthorchiida; Opisthorchiidae.